RNAcentral lists this ribosomal RNA (392 nucleotides) under Nitrososphaera sp. RNAcentral's name for it is "bacterial SSU rRNA". It matches the Rfam family "Bacterial small subunit ribosomal RNA", at positions 1152 to 1533 of the family's 1533-position model. Lineage: Archaea; Thermoproteati; Nitrososphaerota; Nitrososphaeria; Nitrososphaerales; Nitrososphaeraceae. The record is from RNAcentral.
CCGGUGACAAACCGGAGGAAGGUGGGGAUGACGUCAAGUCAGCAUGCCCCUUACGUCCUGGGCUACACACGUACUACAAUGGUAGGGACAGAGGGCAGCCAACCCGCGAGGGCGAGCUAAUCCCGUAAACCCUGCCUCAGUUCAGAUUGCAGGCUGCAACUCGCCUGCAUGAAGGCGGAAUCGCUAGUAAUCGCAGAUCAGCACGCUGCGGUGAAUACGUUCCCGGGCCUUGUACACACCGCCCGUCACACCAUGGGAGUUGGCCACGCCCGAAGUCGUUACUCUAACCUUUCGAGGAGGAGGACGCCGAAGGCAGGGCUGAUGACUGGGGUGAAGUCGUAACAAGGUAGCCGUACCGGAAGGUGUGGCUGGAUCACCUCCUUUUAGGGAGA